GCAGCCGCGGUAAUUCCAGCUCCAAUAGCGUAUAUUAAAGUUGUUGCAGUUAAAAAGCUCGUAGUUGAAUUUCGGGGUUUAUCCGUUGGUCGGGCUUUUGGGUCUGUACUGGCGUGAUGGAUUCCUACCUUCUGAAUAACCAGCAUGUCAUUAAUUUGGUGCGUUGGGGAAGCAGGACUGUUACCUUGAAAAAAUUAGAGUGCUUAAAGCAGGCUAUUGCCUGAAUACAUUAGCAUGGAAUAAUGAAAUAGGACGCAUGGUUCUAUUUUGUUGGUUUCUAGGAUCACCGUAAUGAUUAAUAGGGAUAGUUGGG
Molecule: ribosomal RNA, 313 nt
Filed under: uncultured Acaulospora
Lineage: Eukaryota; Fungi; Glomeromycota; Glomeromycetes; Diversisporales; Acaulosporaceae
Description: SSU rRNA
Rfam family: Eukaryotic small subunit ribosomal RNA
Source: RNAcentral